This 1462-nucleotide ribosomal RNA is filed under the name Synechococcus sp. BGS171. RNAcentral's name for it is "bacterial SSU rRNA". It matches the Rfam family "Bacterial small subunit ribosomal RNA". Lineage: Bacteria; Bacillati; Cyanobacteriota; Cyanophyceae; Synechococcales; Synechococcaceae. The record is from RNAcentral. RNAcentral also lists the same sequence under 1 other name.
UCAGGAUGAACGCUGGCGGCGUGCUUAACACAUGCAAGUCGAACGAGCCUUCGGGCUAGUGGCGGACGGGUGAGUAACGCGUGGGAAUCUGCCCUCAGGAGGGGGAUAACGGCCGGAAACGGCCGCUAAUACCCCAUAUGCCGAGAGGUGAAAUGAAUUUCGCCUGAGGAUGAGCCCGCGUCUGAUUAGCUAGUUGGUGGGGUAAUGGCCCACCAAGGCGACGAUCAGUAGCUGGUCUGAGAGGAUGAUCAGCCACACUGGGACUGAGACACGGCCCAGACUCCUACGGGAGGCAGCAGUGGGGAAUUUUCCGCAAUGGGCGAAAGCCUGACGGAGCAACGCCGCGUGAGGGAUGAAGGCCUCUGGGCUGUAAACCUCUUUUCUCAAGGAAGAAGACAUGACGGUACUUGAGGAAUAAGCCACGGCUAAUUCCGUGCCAGCAGCCGCGGUAAUACGGGAGUGGCAAGCGUUAUCCGGAAUUAUUGGGCGUAAAGCGUCCGCAGGCGGCCUUGUAAGUCUGUCGUUAAAGCGUGGAGCUUAACUCCAUUUCAGCGAUGGAAACUACAAGGCUUGAGUGUGGUAGGGGCAGAGGGAAUUCCCGGUGUAGCGGUGAAAUGCGUAGAUAUCGGGAAGAACACCAGUGGCGAAGGCGCUCUGCUGGGCCAUAACUGACGCUCAUGGACGAAAGCCAGGGGAGCGAAAGGGAUUAGAUACCCCUGUAGUCCUGGCCGUAAACGAUGAACACUAGGUGUCGGGGGAAUCGACCCCCUCGGUGUCGUAGCUAACGCGUUAAGUGUUCCGCCUGGGGAGUACGCACGCAAGUGUGAAACUCAAAGGAAUUGACGGGGGCCCGCACAAGCGGUGGAGUAUGUGGUUUAAUUCGAUGCAACGCGAAGAACCUUACCAGGGUUUGACAUCCUGCGAAUCCCUUGGAAACGAGGGAGUGCCUUCGGGAGCGCAGAGACAGGUGGUGCAUGGCUGUCGUCAGCUCGUGUCGUGAGAUGUUGGGUUAAGUCCCGCAACGAGCGCAACCCACGUCUUUAGUUGCCAGCAUUCAGUUGGGCACUCUAGAGAGACCGCCGGUGAUAAACCGGAGGAAGGUGUGGAUGACGUCAAGUCAUCAUGCCCCUUACAUCCUGGGCUACACACGUACUACAAUGCUACGGACAAAGGGUUGCAAGCUCGCGAGAGUUAGCUAAUCCCAUAAACCGUGGCUCAGUUCAGAUCGUAGGCUGCAACUCGCCUACGUGAAGGAGGAAUCGCUAGUAAUCGCAGGUCAGCAUACUGCGGUGAAUACGUUCCCGGGCCUUGUACACACCGCCCGUCACACCAUGGAAGUUGGCCAUGCCCGAAGUCGUUACUCCAACCCUUGUGGAGGAGGACGCCGAAGGUGGGGCUGAUGACUGGGGUGAAGUCGUAACAAGGUAGCCGUACCGGAAGGUGCGGCUGGAUCACCUCCUAA